RNAcentral lists this ribosomal RNA (431 nucleotides) under uncultured bacterium. Its description in RNAcentral is "bacterial SSU rRNA". It matches the Rfam family "Bacterial small subunit ribosomal RNA", at positions 29 to 507 of the family's 1533-position model. RNAcentral also lists the same sequence under 1 other name. The record is from RNAcentral.
AACGAACGCUGGCGGCAGGCCUAACACAUGCAAGUCGAACGCUCCGCAAGGAGAGUGGCAGACGGGUGAGUAACACGUGGGAAUCUACCUAGUGGUACGGAAUAGCUCAGGGAAACUUGAGGUAAUACCGUAUAAGCCCUUACGGGGAAAGAUUUAUCGCCAUUAGAUGAGCCCGCGUCUGAUUAGCUAGUUGGUGAGGUAAUGGCUCACCAAGGCGACGAUCAGUAGCUGGUUUGAGAGAAUGACCAGCCACACUGGGACUGAGACACGGCCCAGACUCCUACGGGAGGCAGCAGUGGGGAAUCUUGGACAAUGGGCGCAAGCCUGAUCCAGCCAUGCCGCGUGAGUGACGAAGGCCUUAGGGUUGUAAAGCUCUUUUGGCGGGGACGAUAAUGACGGUACCCGCAGAAUAAGCCCCGGCUAACUUCGUG